ACGAUAUGCUUUGGGGAGCUGUAAGUAAGCUUUGAUCCAGAGAUUUCCGAAUGGGGAAACCCAGCAUGAGUUAUGUCAUGUUAUCGAUAUGUGAAUACAUAGCAUAUCAGAAGGCACACCCGGAGAACUGAAACAUCUUAGUACCCGGAGGAAGAGAAAGAAAAUUCGAUUCCCUUAGUAGCGGCGAGCGAAACGGGAAGAGCCCAAACCAACAAGCUUGCUUGUUGGGGUUGUAGGACACUCUAUACGGAGUUACAAAGGACGACAUUAGACGAAUCAUCUGGAAAGAUGAAUCAAAGAAGGUAAUAAUCCUGUAGUCGAAAAUGUUGUCUCUCUUGAGUGGAUCCUGAGUACGACGGAGCACGUGAAAUUCCGUCGGAAUCUGGGAGGACCAUCUCCUAAGGCUAAAUACUCUCUAGUGACCGAUAGUGAACCAGUACCGUGAGGGAAAGGUGAAAAGCACCCCGGAAGGGGAGUGAAAUAGAACCUGAAACCGUGUGCUUACAAGUAGUCAGAGCCCGUUAAUGGGUGAUGGCGUGCCUUUUGUAGAAUGAACCGGCGAGUUACGAUUUGAUGCAAGGUUAAGCAGUAAAUGUGGAGCCGUAGCGAAAGCGAGUCUGAAUAGGGCGUUUAGUAUUUGGUCGUAGACCCGAAACCAGGUGAUCUACCCUUGGUCAGGUUGAAGUUCAGGUAACACUGAAUGGAGGACCGAACCGACUUACGUUGAAAAGUGAGCGGAUGAACUGAGGGUAGCGGAGAAAUUCCAAUCGAACCUGGAGAUAGCUGGUUCUCUCCGAAAUAGCUUUAGGGCUAGCCUCAAGUGAUGAUUAUUGGAGGUAGAGCACUGUUUGGACGAGGGGCCCCUCUCGGGUUACCGAAUUCAGACAAACUCCGAAUGCCAAUUAAUUUAACUUGGGAGUCAGAACAUGGGUGAUAAGGUCCGUGUUCGAAAGGGAAACAGCCCAGACCACCAGCUAAGGUCCCAAAAUAUAUGUUAAGUGGAAAAGGAUGUGGCGUUGCCCAGACAACUAGGAUGUUGGCUUAGAAGCAGCCAUCAUUUAAAGAGUGCGUAAUAGCUCACUAGUCGAGUGACACUGCGCCGAAAAUGUACCGGGGCUAAACAUAUUACCGAAGCUGUGGAUUGUCCUUUGGACAAUGGUAGGAGAGCGUUCUAAGGGCGUUGAAGCAUGAUCGUAAGGACAUGUGGAGCGCUUAGAAGUGAGAAUGCCGGUGUGAGUAGCGAAAGACGGGUGAGAAUCCCGUCCACCGAUUGACUAAGGUUUCCAGAGGAAGGCUCGUCCGCUCUGGGUUAGUCGGGUCCUAAGCUGAGGCCGACAGGCGUAGGCGAUGGAUAACAGGUUGAUAUUCCUGUACCACCUAUAAUCGUUUUAAUCGAUGGGGGGACGCAGUAGGAUAGGCGAAGCGUGCGAUUGGAUUGCACGUCUAAGCAGUAAGGCUGAGUAUUAGGCAAAUCCGGUACUCGUUAAGGCUGAGCUGUGAUGGGGAGAAGACAUUGUGUCUUCGAGUCGUUGAUUUCACACUGCCGAGAAAAGCCUCUAGAUAGAAAAUAGGUGCCCGUACCGCAAACCGACACAGGUAGUCAAGAUGAGAAUUCUAAGGUGAGCGAGCGAACUCUCGUUAAGGAACUCGGCAAAAUGACCCCGUAACUUCGGGAGAAGGGGUGCUCUUUAGGGUUAACGCCCAGAAGAGCCGCAGUGAAUAGGCCCAAGCGACUGUUUAUCAAAAACACAGGUCUCUGCUAAACCGUAAGGUGAUGUAUAGGGGCUGACGCCUGCCCGGUGCUGGAAGGUUAAGAGGAGUGGUUAGCUUCUGCGAAGCUACGAAUCGAAGCCCCAGUAAACGGCGGCCGUAACUAUAACGGUCCUAAGGUAGCGAAAUUCCUUGUCGGGUAAGUUCCGACCCGCACGAAAGGCGUAACGAUUUGGGCACUGUCUCAACGAGAGACUCGGUGAAAUCAUAGUACCUGUGAAGAUGCAGGUUACCCGCGACAGGACGGAAAGACCCCGUGGAGCUUUACUGUAGCCUGAUAUUGAAAUUCGGCACAGCUUGUACAGGAUAGGUAGGAGCCUUUGAAACGUGAGCGAUAGCUUACGUGGAGGCGCUGGUGGGAUACUACCCUAGCUGUGUUGGCUUUCUAACCCGCACCACUUAUCGUGGUGGGAGACAGUGUCAGGCGGGCAGUUUGACUGGGGCGGUCGCCUCCUAAAAGGUAACGGAGGCGCUCAAAGGUUUCCUCAGAAUGGUUGGAAAUCAUUCAUAGAGUGUAAAGGCAUAAGGGAGCUUGACUGCGAGACCUACAAGUCGAGCAGGGUCGAAAGACGGACUUAGUGAUCCGGUGGUUCCGCAUGGAAGGGCCAUCGCUCAACGGAUAAAAGCUACCCCGGGGAUAACAGGCUUAUCUCCCCCAAGAGUUCACAUCGACGGGGAGGUUUGGCACCUCGAUGUCGGCUCAUCGCAUCCUGGGGCUGUAGUCGGUCCCAAGGGUUGGGCUGUUCGCCCAUUAAAGCGGUACGCGAGCUGGGUUCAGAACGUCGUGAGACAGUUCGGUCCCUAUCCGUCGUGGGCGUAGGAAAUUUGAGAGGAGCUGUCCUUAGUACGAGAGGACCGGGAUGGACAUACCUCUGGUGUACCAGUUGUCGUGCCAACGGCAUAGCUGGGUAGCUAUGUGUGGACGGGAUAAGUGCUGAAAGCAUCUAAGCAUGAAGCCCCCCUCAAGAUGAGAUUUCCCAACUUCGGUUAUAAGAUCCCUCAAAGAUGAUGAGGUUAAUAGGUUCGAGGUGGAAGCAUGGUGACAUGUGGAGCUGACGAAUACUAAUCGAUCGAAGACUUAAUCAAAUU
This 2859-nucleotide ribosomal RNA is filed under the name Staphylococcus aureus. Its description in RNAcentral is "partial 23S ribosomal RNA". It matches the Rfam family "Bacterial large subunit ribosomal RNA". The record is from RNAcentral. Lineage: Bacteria; Bacillati; Bacillota; Bacilli; Caryophanales; Staphylococcaceae.